Molecule: ribosomal RNA, 584 nt
Filed under: Hanseniaspora uvarum
Lineage: Eukaryota; Fungi; Ascomycota; Saccharomycetes; Saccharomycodales; Saccharomycodaceae
Description: partial large subunit ribosomal RNA
Rfam family: Eukaryotic large subunit ribosomal RNA
Source: RNAcentral
ACAUGGGCAUACUUAGUACGGCGAGUGAGCGGUAAAAGCUCAAAUUUGAAAUCUGGUACUUUCAGUGCCCGAGUUGUAAUUUGUAGAAUUUGUCUUUGAUUAGGUCCUUGUCUAUGUUCCUUGGAACAGGACGUCAUAGAGGGUGAGAAUCCCGUUUGGCGAGGAUACCUUUUCUCUGUAAGACUUUUUCGAAGAGUCGAGUUGUUUGGGAAUGCAGCUCAAAGUGGGUGGUAAAUUCCAUCUAAAGCUAAAUAUUGGCGAGAGACCGAUAGCGAACAAGUACAGUGAUGGAAAGAUGAAAAGAACUUUGAAAAGAGAGUGAAAAAGUACGUGAAAUUGUUGAAAGGGAAGGGCAUUUGAUCAGACAUGGUGUUUUUUGCAUGCACUCGCCUCUCGUGGGCUUGGGCCUCUCAAAAAUUUCACUGGGCCAACAUCAAUUCUGGCAGCAGGAUAAAUCAUUAAGAAUGUAGCUACUUCGGUAGUGUUAUAGCUUUUUGGAAUACUGUUAGCCGGGAUUGAGGACUGCGCUUCGGCAAGGAUGUUGGCAUAAUGGUUAAAUGCCGCCCGUCUUGAACCACGGACCA